AGCACUGUGUGUGUAUUUUUGUUUAGUUUGGAAGAAAGCCUUAAAGACAGGUGCAAACAGUACAUCUUCUUUUGCAACCUAGAACUCACUGUUGAAUAUGAGACUUUGGUAUAUGUAAGUAGGAAUAUG
This is a small nucleolar RNA of Perognathus longimembris pacificus (Pacific pocket mouse), 129 nucleotides long. RefSeq annotates it as small nucleolar RNA SNORA40. The transcript has a single exon. Lineage: Eukaryota; Metazoa; Chordata; Mammalia; Rodentia; Heteromyidae. The record is from RefSeq and is a predicted model, not a curated record.